Eriocheir sinensis (Chinese mitten crab) is the source of this 1798-nucleotide long non-coding RNA. RefSeq lists it as uncharacterized. The transcript is spliced from 3 exons. The record is from RefSeq and is a predicted model, not a curated record. NCBI's taxonomy places the organism in Eukaryota, Metazoa, Arthropoda, Malacostraca, Decapoda, Varunidae.
UAGUGAGUAAGUGUAUGGGGAUUGGUGAGUAAGUUUAUGGGCACAAGUAAGUUAUGGGCAUUGGUGAGUAAGUUUUGGGGGCAGGUGAGUAAUUUCAUGGGCUCAGGUGAAUAAGUUUAUGGGCAUUGGUAAGUAAGUUUAUGGGCACAAGUAAGUUAUGGGCAUUGGUGAGUAAGUUUUGGGGGCAAGGUGAGUAAGUUUGUUUGCACAAAUGAGUAAGUUAUGAGAGAGAGAGAGAGAGAGAGAGAGAGAGAGAGAGAGAGAGAGAGAGAGAGAGAGAGAGAGAGAGAGAGAGAGAGAGAGAGAGAGAGAGAGAGAGAGAGAGAGAGAGAGAGAGAGAGAGAGAGAGAGAUCUAUACAGCAAGGUCUAACAAUAGGUACAUCCAGCCUGCCUGAAAGGAAGGAUGAACAUAACCUAACCUUACUCACCUACAUACCUAUGACAAAAUUAAUUCUUGCUCAAAUGUUUUUGGGGAAAAUUCAUAAGUGGGCAACAAUUAAAUGACUGUCCAGGGAUGAUGAUUCCAACCCUGGCUGGCAGAUUCAAAGGUAGGCAUGCUAACCACUACACCAUGGAGCCAUAAGAAUUAGCCACACUAUACCAGGACAAAUAAUUCUUAGUGUGUGCCCUGGUAAGAUUCAAAUGUGCAGCCCUGGUAGUGAGUAAGUGUAUGGGGAUUGGUGAGUAAGUUUAUGGGCACAAGUAAGUUAUGGGCAUUGGUGAGUAAGUUUUGGGGGCAGGUGAGUAAUUUCAUGGGCUCAGGUGAAUAAGUUUAUGGGCAUUGGUAAGUAAGUUUAUGGGCACAAGUAAGUUAUGGGCAUUGGUGAGUAAGUUUUGGGGGCAGGUGAGUAAGUUCAUGGGCUCAGGUGAGUAAGUUUAUGGGCAUAAGUGAGUAAGUUUUGGGGGCAAGGUGAGUAAGUUUAUGGGCAUUGGUGAGUAAGUUUUGGGGGCAGGUGAGUAAGUUCAUGGGCUCAGGUGAGUAAGUUUAUGGGCAUUGGUGAGUAAGUUUAUGGGCACAAGUGAGUAAGUUAUGGAUAUAGGUGAGUAAGUUUUGGGGGCAAGGUGAGUAAGUUUGUUUGCACAAAUGAGUAAGUUAUGGGAGAGAGAGAGAGAGAGAGAGAGAGAGAGAGAGAGAGAGAGAGAGAGAGAGAGAGAGAGAGAGAGAGAGAGAGAGAGAGAGAGAGAGAGAGAGAGAGAGAGAGAGAGAGAGAGAGAGAGAGAGAGAGAGAGAGAUCUAUACAGCAAGGUCUAACAAUAGGUACAUCCAGCCCACCUGAAAGGAAAGAUGAACAUAACCUAACCUUACUCACCUACAUACCUAUGACAAAAUUAAUUUUUACUCAAAUGUUUUUGGGGAAAAUUCUUAAGUGGGCAACAAUUAAAUGACUGUCCAGGGAGGGGGAUUCCAACCCUGGCUGGCAGAUUCAUAGGUAGGCAUGCUAACUACUACCCCACGGAGCCAUAAGAAUUCGCCACACUAUACCAGGACAAAUCAUUCUUAGUGUGUGCCCUGGUAAGAUUCAAAUGUGCAGCCCUGGUAGUGAGUAAGUGUAUGGGGAUUGGUGAGUAAGUUUAUGGGCACAAGUAAGUUUUGGGCAUUGGUGAGUAAGUUUUGGGGGCAGGUGAGUAAGUUCAUGGGCUCAGGUGAGUAAGUUUAUGGGCAUUGGUGAGUAAGUUUUUGGGGAAAGGUGAGUAGGUUUAUGGCACCAGUAAGUUUAUGGGCAUUGGUGAGUAAGUUCAUGGGUUCAGGUGAGUAAGUUUAUGGGCACAAGUGAGUAAGUUUAUGGGCACAAGUGA